GAUGAACGCUGGCGGCGUGCCUAAUACAUGCAAGUCGAGCGAACAGAUAAGGAGCUUGCUCCUUUGACGUUAGCGGCGGACGGGUGAGUAACACGUGGAUAACCUACCUAUAAGACUGGGAUAACUUCGGGAAACCGGAGCUAAUACCGGAUAACAUAUUGAACCGCAUGGUUCAAUAGUGAAAGGCGGCUUUGCUGUCACUUAUAGAUGGAUCCGCGCCGUAUUAGCUAGUUGGUAAGGUAACGGCUUACCAAGGCAACGAUACGUAGCCGACCUGAGAGGGUGAUCGGCCACACUGGAACUGAGACACGGUCCAGACUCCUACGGGAGGCAGCAGUAGGGAAUCUUCCGCAAUGGGCGAAAGCCUGACGGAGCAACGCCGCGUGAGUGAUGAAGGUCUUCGGAUCGUAAAACUCUGUUAUCAGGGAAGAACAAAUGUGUAAGUAACUGUGCACAUCUUGACGGUACCUGAUCGGAAAGCCACGGCUAACUACGUG
Molecule: ribosomal RNA, 497 nt
Filed under: uncultured bacterium
Lineage: Bacteria
Description: partial 16S ribosomal RNA
Rfam family: Bacterial small subunit ribosomal RNA
Source: RNAcentral